RNAcentral lists this ribosomal RNA (479 nucleotides) under uncultured bacterium. RNAcentral describes it as "bacterial SSU rRNA". It matches the Rfam family "Bacterial small subunit ribosomal RNA", at positions 28 to 494 of the family's 1533-position model. The record is from RNAcentral.
GAUGAACGCUAGCGGCAGGCCUAAUACAUGCAAGUCGAGCGGUAACAGGUGUAGCAAUACAUGCUGACGAGCGGCGCACGGGUGCGUAACACGUAUGCAACCUACCUUUAACUGGAGGAUAGCCGCCCGAAAGGGUGAUUAAUACUCCAUAACAUUAUGAAAUAGCAUUAUUUUAUAAUUAAAGCUCCGGCGGUUAAAGAUGGGCAUGCGUCCGAUUAGCUAGUUGGCGAGGUAAAAGCUCACCAAGGCUACGAUCGGUAGGGGUUCUGAGAGGAUAUACCCCCACACUGGUACUGAGACACGGACCAGACUCCUACGGGAGGCAGCAGUAAGGAAUAUUGGACAAUGGAGGCAACUCUGAUCCAGCCAUGCCGCGUGAAGGAUGAAGGUGCUAUGCAUUGUAAAACUUCUUUUGAACGGGAGAAAAAACCUUUUGGGUACCGUGUACCGAAGCUGAUAGUACCGUUAGAAUAAGGGUC